AAGCAAAAACUGUUAGGACUAACUCUGUGGCCUCACCGAGUAGGUAUGCAGCUUAUCAGCUGCAUCCCAGGAGGAAAAAAAAGAUUAUUUUAGAAUAAGCUUAUCAAAUUCCAAGUUCUAACAUUUCUGUUUGCUUUAUCUUUUCUAAAAUCUUCACAGCUGUGUUGUCUAGCGUGAUUUCUUUAAAUAAACAUUCUCCUUUGCUGCUUCUUUAAACUUGUUUGUAGUAAGGGCAAUUUCAAACUUGCUGGUUAAUGAGAUGCAGGCACUGCAUUCCCAUCAGUGUAAAGGAUCAUUCAAAUCAAGUUCUUGACCACCUACACAAAACAGCGCUGCAAGAUAGGGCAGUGGAUGCUGCAGCUUAGGCUGCACGGAUCAUAAACACCCAUAAGCCCACUGGGCAUCCUCCAGUGAUUAAACUGGGGAAAAUGAGAGAUAACUGGGCUCACCUAAAACUGAGAAUUUGUAACACAUUGAUUCUCCAGUGUCACAUCCAGUUUUUCUUCUGUAUAUUCCUUCAUCGUGACUCAAAAGUUAUUACAAAAGCAUCACAUAUAGAAUGUGCGCACAGCUUCACGUGAUCCCAGCUUCACGUUGUCACAGAGAGCUAAUUUACAGCAUUCAUAAACAAACGACACUCUCCCCAAGAAAAUAAAUAGGAAAUUAAAAAGUAAUGUAGAUUCAAAUGAUGUCUGUGUUUCAUCAGAUCUGAGCCACAGCCAGGCGAUUUUUGUCAGUACUCCAAGUUAAAUGCCUCGCUGGAUACAGAGUGGAGCUGUGAAACUAGGAGGCAAGAUGUACCCAGAGCACAUGAACUUUUCUCCUGCCUCCUCACAAAUACAAGAGCAGCACAGAUCCUUCUCUAGGGAUGCAGAAGCCUCACAAGUACUUCUGUGUUACAGUCACCAAUCUAUUUAUGAGUAGCUCACAUGCAGAUAGUGCAGCAGGGGCAGCACAACCUCCGUCUGCAGGCAAACUGACUGGAUCGAUGGCAACCAUGCGAAGCCCCAUGCUGUCAAAAUCACAUAACAGUAACCAAGGCAAUUUAAAGCUAGCAGUAACUGCAGCGUGGACAUCUCCUUGUUAAAGCAAAACCAAAUCAAACAAAAAUACGCAACGCAGAUGAAAAGGGAAUCAAAGAACAGCCCUGCUCAUUUGUACCAGAGACUGGAGAAAGUUGUCUGUGCUUUGCUAUGUGUUGUGCUUUCUGCUACAAAGCCAGCAGCGUCAGCGUUGGACAUCAGUGGUAAACUCUGUUGAUGUCACUAUGAGUCUUGCCUGGCCUUUGAAAAGAAAUCUCCACUGCGUCUCCAGGGGUCAUUUUACAAGGAAAUCAGAUUAACCUUUUUGGUCUGUGCUUGAGAUCAAUGUGGCAUGGGAAAAGUAGGCUAACGUGGAAGAGAGAAAUAAUGAAUUGACCUUUCUGAAAAAAUUGGCUAUAAAAAUAAUUUAGUAUGAAGAAGAGUAUCUUAAAAUGAAAGCAUGCUUAUUCUUCUCAGUAGAAAUAAUAUUGUUAAAAUUCAUUCCUGAACCCACAAACAAACAAACAAAAAAUUCAGCCCAUUACUUCCCCAAGACAUCAUCUACUGUUACACAUUCUUUUUAGUAGGAUAUAACACAUCUUGUUCCACGAUUCUUACUGCCUUUGUGUCAAGUCAACUGCAGUCAUCUUAAGAUAUUGAAGAUGUAAUUCAUAAAUAAAUUAAAAUGGGUAUC
Gallus gallus (chicken) is the source of this 1716-nucleotide long non-coding RNA. The record is from Ensembl. Lineage: Eukaryota; Metazoa; Chordata; Aves; Galliformes; Phasianidae.